GAGGUAUUUGAAUGAGCUGUACAGCUCAAAGUCAUCCGGCGUGCAAAUCGAGGUGUCUCCACGUCGUCCACCUGCUCCAAAAAGAGAUUAAAUCCAUGGGAAAGGCGCUUCAAAGUCGUCAACAGGAGGUCCGGGCACAAAAAUCGGCUUCCAUCCCCACUGCCCAGGACGGUGCCCAUUGACCCUUCAGCCCCCAGAAGGAAGAUCAACCAGGUCCUGACCAUCUACAAUCUGUCAUCUCUACUCAAGUCUCUGCAAAAGAGUGCUGUAAAAGUAAUGUCUUGAAUUAUUUAAAUUGUUAUUCUUGUGUUUAAAAAAACUUCCCUGU
Esox lucius (northern pike) is the source of this 328-nucleotide long non-coding RNA. RefSeq lists it as uncharacterized. The record is from RefSeq and is a predicted model, not a curated record. The transcript has 3 exons. NCBI's taxonomy places the organism in Eukaryota, Metazoa, Chordata, Actinopteri, Esociformes, Esocidae.